RNAcentral lists this unclassified non-coding RNA (442 nucleotides) under Bombus terrestris (buff-tailed bumblebee). RNAcentral describes it as "misc RNA ENSBTSG00005027063.1". Lineage: Eukaryota; Metazoa; Arthropoda; Insecta; Hymenoptera; Apidae. The record is from RNAcentral.
GUCCUUGAUAAGCACUCCAGAGAUUUCCGACUGUGAUGCAACCUGUUUUGAAGCACGGUAAUUUCAACUGUUGCAAGACAAUACGAGAUUAGACCGAAAAGCUUACCUUUACCAAUGAGACUGAGAAAGAUGCCAUUGACAUACCGAUGCAUAUGCACAGAUAGACGGAAUGACUGGUUUGAAUAGUCUUCAGGUAACUGCUUUGAUGGCAUCAAAACAGGACCAACAGGCCGUUGUCCAUAAAAAGUUUAAUAAUAUAUAUACAUAUGUGAUACACGGAAGUAAACUCAUGUAAAUCUCUCAAAAUUAGUUAGACUAUUCUUGAUAUUGUUUAAGAAUAUUCAAGAACGCGAGUUAGCUAAUUGUUAUACUAUAGUACAGUAAGUAUCCAAUUAAUGACAAGAAAUCAAUGUUUCAUUACUUAUCGUCAAAUAAGGAGAUA